RNAcentral lists this ribosomal RNA (497 nucleotides) under uncultured bacterium. RNAcentral's name for it is "partial 16S ribosomal RNA". It matches the Rfam family "Bacterial small subunit ribosomal RNA", at positions 28 to 507 of the family's 1533-position model. The record is from RNAcentral.
GAUGAACGCUGGCGGCGUGCCUAAUACAUGUAAGUCGAGCGAACAGACGAGGAGCUUGCUCCUCUGACGUUAGCGGCGGACGGGUGAGUAACACGUGGAUAACCUACCUAUAAGACUGGGAUAACUUCGGGAAACCGGAGCUAAUACCGGAUAACAUGUUGAACCGCAUGGUUCAACAGUGAAAGACGGUCUUGCUGUCACUUAUAGAUGGAUCCGCGCCGCAUUAGCUAGUUGGUAAGGUAACGGCUUACCAAGGCAACGAUGCGUAGCCGACCUGAGAGGGUGAUCGGCCACACUGGAACUGGGACACGGUCCAGACUCCUACGGGAGGCAGCAGUAGGGAAUCUUCCGCAAUGGGCGAAAGCCUGACGGAGCAACGCCGCGUGAGUGAAGAAGGUCUUCGGAUCGUAAAACUCUGUUAUUAGGGAAGAACAAAUGUGUAAGUAACUAUGCACGUCUUGACGGUACCUAAUCAGAAAGCCACGGCUAACUACGUG